RNAcentral lists this ribosomal RNA (707 nucleotides) under uncultured dinoflagellate. Its description in RNAcentral is "bacterial SSU rRNA". It matches the Rfam family "Eukaryotic small subunit ribosomal RNA", at positions 668 to 1380 of the family's 1831-position model. The record is from RNAcentral. Lineage: Eukaryota; Dinophyceae.
CUAUCGGGCGGUAUUUAGAUUUUGCGUAUCAUCUUCUUGAAAAGCUUUGCUGUGCUUGAUUGCAUGGUGUGGGAAUCAGGACAUAUACUUUGAGGCAAUUUAGAGUGUUUCAAGCAGGUUUGUGCUGAAAUAGCCUAGCAUGGAAUAAUAACAUGGGGUCUUGGUCUUGUUUGUAGGUUUCUACGCUGAGGAAACAAUCAAUCAGGAUACUGGGGGCAUUCGUACUUAACUGUCAGAGGUGAAUUCUUGGAUUUGUUAAAGACAAACUACUGCGAAAGCAUUUGUCAAGGAUGUUUUCAUUGAUCAAGAACGAAAGUUAAGGGAUCGAAGACGAUCAGAUACCGUCCUAGUCUUAACCAUAAACAAUGCCAUCUAGAGAUUGGAGGUAGUGCCAAGGAUUACUUCUUCAGCAUCAUUUGAGAAAUCAAAGCUUUUGGGUUCCGGGGGGAGUAUGGUCGCAAGGCUGAAACUUAAAGGAAUUGACGGAAGGGCACCACCAGGAGUGGAGCCUGCGGCUUAAUUUGACUCAACACGGGAAAACUCACCAGAACCAGACAUAAACAGGAUUGACAGAUUGAUAGCUCUUUCUUGAUUUUAUGGGUGGUGGUGCAUGGCCGUUCUUAGUUGGUGGAGUGAUCUGUCUGGUUAAUUCCGUUAACGAACGAGACCUUGUCUUACUAAAUAGUUACAUGUAACUUUGGUUACAU